RNAcentral lists this ribosomal RNA (241 nucleotides) under uncultured bacterium. RNAcentral's name for it is "partial 16S ribosomal RNA". It matches the Rfam family "Bacterial small subunit ribosomal RNA", at positions 94 to 335 of the family's 1533-position model. The record is from RNAcentral.
AGUGGCGGACGGGUGAGUAACGCGUGGGUAACCUGCCUCAUACAGGGGGAUAACAGUUAGAAAUGACUGCUAAUACCGCAUAAGACCACAGCACCGCAUGGUGCAGGGGUAAAAACUCCGGUGGUAUGAGAUGGACCCGCGUCUGAUUAGGUAGUUGGUGGGGUAACGGCCUACCAAGCCGACGAUCAGUAGCCGACCUGAGAGGGUGACCGGCCACAUUGGGACUGAGACACGGCCCCAA